AGCUCCAAUAGCGUAUAUUAAAGUUGUUGUGGUUAAAAAGCUCGUAGUUGGAUCUGCGUUCGGCUGAGUUGGUCCCCUACGUGGUGGCACUGACCUGGCUGAACUAAUCAUUCGGUUUUCUCUUGAUGCUCUUAACUGAGUGUCUUGAGUGGCCGGAACGUUUACUUUGAAAAAAUUAGAGUGCUCAAAGCAGGCGCUACGCCUGAACAUUCGUGCAUGGAAUAAUGGAAAAGGUCUUUGCAGCCUUUU
This 249-nucleotide ribosomal RNA is filed under the name Enoplea environmental sample. Its description in RNAcentral is "partial small subunit ribosomal RNA". It matches the Rfam family "Eukaryotic small subunit ribosomal RNA", at positions 587 to 841 of the family's 1831-position model. The record is from RNAcentral. Lineage: Eukaryota; Metazoa; Nematoda; Enoplea.